GUCCACGCUGUAAACGAUGUGUGCUAGACGUUGGGGAGCCUAGCUCUUCGGUGUCGCAGCUAACGCGGUAAGCACACCGCCUGGGGAGUACGGCCGCAAGGUUAAAACUCAAAGGAAUUGACGGGGGCCCGCACAAGCGGUGGAGCAUGUGGUUUAAUUCGACGCAACGCGAAGAACCUUACCAGCCCUUGACAUGUCCGGUGUGGUCCGUGGAGACGCGGACCUUCAGUUCGGCUGGCCGGAGCACAGGUGCUGCAUGGCUGUCGU
Molecule: ribosomal RNA, 267 nt
Filed under: uncultured bacterium
Lineage: Bacteria
Description: partial 16S ribosomal RNA
Rfam family: Bacterial small subunit ribosomal RNA
Source: RNAcentral